GCCUGAAGAGCUUCCUUUAGGAUUUCUUGUGAGACAAGUCAGCUUUUAUUUGUCUGGAAAAGUCUUUAUCUCACUUUUAUUUGUGAAGAACUGCUUUGGCAGCCGUACCCUCAAGAACUGCACCUUCCAACCACCCUUAUAUGAGCCUGCUCCAAAACCUUGCCAGCCAGCACUUCCAGGUUACGACUAUUGACCUCCAGCUCCCAGUUUCAGAGAGUUCUCCCAGUCUCCUGGAUCACACUGGUCGGAAAGCUGUUUGGUAGACAACCUUCGAGUCUUUCUGCCUUCAUACUGUGGGUAUACCGUUCUCCCAACUGAAAACCCGUUUAUUUUCUUAUCUGUCUACUCAAAGCCUAACCAACACCAAAUGGCCUAGAAAUGCCACGUACCUACCAGUUGCCUCUUUCCUCCUCCAGCCCUUGUGAAUGUGAAUUCACAUCUCUGUUCUCUGUGUUCCUUGGCCACUUAGUACCAUUCACAAUAUCUCUCAUAGCUAGCUCUCUGCCUUAGGGCUGGCCCAUGGGACUAAAAUUCCUUGUGGUAGGUAUUUUUUUUUCAUAUUUCUAUUCUUAUAGCAUCUAGCAUAGAACAAACAGCCUAGUAUCUAGUGGGUAUCCAAUAACAACUUAUGCAGGUGAUUAGGCAAGAAAAAGAAAUAAAGCCUAUUCAAAUUGGAAAGGUGGAAGUCAAAUUGUCCCUAUUUGCUGGCAACAUAAUCUUAUAUAUAGAAGAACUUAAACACUCUGCCAAAAAUCCAUUAGAUGUGAUAAACAAUUCAGUAAGGUUGUAUUGUAUGUAUCAAAACAUCCCUAUGUAACCCAUAGAGAUGUAUAAUUAUUUUAUGUUGAUCAAAAAUAAAAUAAUAAAAGCUCUUAAUAAAACAGUCAUCUC
Long non-coding RNA from Homo sapiens (human), 891 nucleotides. Ensembl annotates it as family with sequence similarity 27 member C. Its record names the gene FAM27C. Lineage: Eukaryota; Metazoa; Chordata; Mammalia; Primates; Hominidae. The record is from Ensembl.